GAGGGACAGGGCGAUCUCAAAAGAGUGCUAAUUUUUCUGGGCCAUGGUUGAACUCCAUGGGUCCCUUG
This 68-nucleotide transfer RNA is filed under the name Gymnothorax kolpos (blacktail moray). RNAcentral describes it as "tRNA-Ser". The record is from RNAcentral. Lineage: Eukaryota; Metazoa; Chordata; Actinopteri; Anguilliformes; Muraenidae.